RNAcentral lists this ribosomal RNA (253 nucleotides) under uncultured bacterium. RNAcentral's name for it is "partial 16S ribosomal RNA". It matches the Rfam family "Bacterial small subunit ribosomal RNA", at positions 524 to 776 of the family's 1533-position model. The record is from RNAcentral.
UACGAAGGGGGCUAGCGUUGCUCGGAAUUACUGGGCGUAAAGGGAGCGUAGGCGGAUAGUUUAGUCAGAGGUGAAAGCCCAGGGCUCAACCUUGGAAUUGCCUUUGAUACUGGCUAUCUUGAGUACGGAAGAGGUAUGUGGAACUCCGAGUGUAGAGGUGAAAUUCGUAGAUAUUCGGAAGAACACCAGUGGCGAAGGCGGCUCACUGGCCCGGUACUGACGCUGAGGCGCGAAAGCGUGGGGAGCAAACAGG